UACGAAGGGGGCUAGCGUUGCUCGGAAUGACUGGGCGUAAAGGGCGCGUAGGCGGAGUGCUUUGUCAGGCGUGAAAUUCCAGGGCUUAACCUUGGGGCUGCGUUUGAGACGGGCAUUCUUGAGUAUGGAAGAGGGUCGUGGAAUUCCCAGUGUAGAGGUGAAAUUCGUAGAUAUCGGGAAGAACACCGGUGGCGAAGGCGGCGACCUGGUCCGAUACUGACGCUGAGGCGCGAAAGCGUGGGGAGCAAACAGG
This 253-nucleotide ribosomal RNA is filed under the name uncultured bacterium. RNAcentral's name for it is "partial 16S ribosomal RNA". It matches the Rfam family "Bacterial small subunit ribosomal RNA", at positions 524 to 776 of the family's 1533-position model. The record is from RNAcentral.